AGAAAUUAAAAAAAAAAAAAAGAACCAGCAGCCCCCUUUUAAAAUCUCUCUCUACCGUCACUCUCCCUCCCCCUCCCUUUUUCUUCCGACCGGUGAGCCUCCAGCCACCAAGGCCGGCCGGCGAGAGGUCCCCCCACCUUGGACAUCGCCGGUACACCACCAGCCGGCCGGUAGAACCACCAGACGCGGCGGUGUGCUGCCGGCAAGAGAGGGAGAGAAGAGAGAGAAACGUGCGCGCAGGUAGUCCAACUUCCAGGAGCGAUUCCGGUUUCAUCCGACGUCCGAUCUAGGUGAUUCAGAUGUCGUUGGAAAACUUGUUCCGAGAGCUUUCUUUUGAUACCAAUUUUGCAGCAAAUGGAGGUCGGAUGAGUGGGAUAUGGAGGAGAGAAGUUUCGG
RNAcentral lists this unclassified non-coding RNA (396 nucleotides) under Hevea brasiliensis (rubber tree). Lineage: Eukaryota; Viridiplantae; Streptophyta; Magnoliopsida; Malpighiales; Euphorbiaceae. The record is from RNAcentral.